Sorghum bicolor (sorghum) is the source of this 2087-nucleotide RNA transcript. It is a transcript of the gene named berberine bridge enzyme-like 18, with no coding region annotated. The transcript has 3 exons. NCBI's taxonomy places the organism in Eukaryota, Viridiplantae, Streptophyta, Magnoliopsida, Poales, Poaceae. The record is from RefSeq and is a predicted model, not a curated record.
CUCCAUGCCAUGCAGUGCAAGUCCAACCAAACCUUCUCUUCAAACGUUUACAACAAGCAUCUAAUAAUAAGCAAAGAUGGCCAUGGCCAAGAGCUUAUCGCCGCCGGCGGUGCUCAUAUUUGCCUUGCUCUUCAGCUACGCCGCCUCCAUCGCGUCCUCCCAAGCUACAUCGUCGUCCGAUGGCUUCCUCCAAUGCCUCUCGGCGAGCAUCCCCAGCCAGCUCGUCUUCACACAGAGCUCGCCUUCGUUCACGCCGCUGCUCAAGUCCUCCAUCAAGAACCCCAAGUUCUUCACGCCCAGCAUCGUGCGGCCGCUCUACAUCGUCACGCCGACGAACGCCUCCCACGUUCAGGCCGCCGUGCUCUGCGGCCGCCGGAACGGGAUGCGCAUCCGCGUGCGCAGCGGCGGCCACGACUACGAGGGCCUGUCGUACCGGUCCGAGCGCCCCGAGGUGUUCGCGGUGCUCGACCUGUCAAACCUCCGCGCCGUGCGCGUCGACCGGCAGACCUCCACCGCGUGGGUCGACUCCGGCGCGACGCUCGGCGAGCUCUACUACGCCGUCGGGAAGGCCAGCAACCUUCUAGGGUUCCCGGCCGGCCUGUGCCCGACCGUCGGCGUCGGGGGACAUUUCAGCGGCGGCGGCUUCGGCAUGCUGCUGCGCAAGUACGGCCUCGCCAUCGACAACGUCGUCGACGCGGUCCUGGUGGACGCCAAGGGGAGGCUCCUGAACAAGAACACCAUGGGCAGCGACGUCUUCUGGGCCAUCCGAGGCGGCGGCGGCGAGAGCUUCGGCGUCGUGCUGUCGUGGCAGGUGAAGCUCGUCCCCGUCCCGGCGACCGUCACGGUGUUCAACGUCCCGGUGUCCGCCAGCCAGGGCGCCGUGGACGUGGUCACCAGGUGGCAGCAGGUGGCGCCAUCCCUGCCGGACGACCUCUUCAUCAGGGUGCUCGUCCAGCAGCAGACGGCCACCUUCCAGUCCCUGUUCCUCGGCACCUGCGACGCGCUCCUGCCGGUGAUGAGCAGCCGGUUCCCGGAGCUGCGGUUCAACCGGACCUCCUGCAAGGAGAUGACGUGGAUCCAGUCCGUGCCCUACAUCUACCUCGGCAGCGGCUCCACGGUGGAGGACCUCCUGAACCGGACCACCGCCGCCUCCGUCUUCAGCAGCGGCUACAAGGCGACGUCCGACUACGUCCGGCAGGCCAUCCCGCGGGGCGUGUGGGCGAACAUCUUCAGCAAGCUCGCGCAGCCCAACGCGGGGCUGAUGAUCCUGGACCCCUACGGCGGCGCGCGGAUCGGCGGCGUGCCGGAGUCGGCGACGCCGUUCCCGCACCGCGCCGGCGUGCUGUACAACAUCCAGUACGUGAGCUUCUGGUCGGCGAAUGGAGACGGGUCGGCGCAUACGAAGUGGGUCAGGGACUUCUACGCGUUCAUGGCGCCGUACGUGAGCUCGAGCCCGAGGGAGGCCUACUUCAACUACAGGGACCUGGACCUUGGUGAGAACGUCGUUGUCGGCAAUGUCAGCAGCUAUGAGGCCGGCAAGGUCUGGGGCGAAAAGUACUUCGGGGAUAAUUACAAGAGGCUUGCGAUGGUGAAGGGUGAGAUUGACCCCGACGACUACUUCAGGAAUGAGCAGAGCAUACCACCGCUCGUGCUGGGCAACUAGUUCUUUAGUGGUGACGGAAAUGGCGCACUUGCGGUCAAAACCAUAUUAUAGAGAGGAGAAAAAUCGACAACAGCUACAGGCCAACGACACCCCGAGGAGGGAGAAGGGGCCUCGAGCCCACAGGCCACACAGCCCAAAGCCACGCACUGGGAUCAAGCGCCCACAAAGACCAAGCAACAUGCCAGCCCAACUUCUCAUUACCUAAUCUGCUAAAUAUUGUUGUUCUUCCGCACAUAACAAUUCCUUUCGUCUUGAUGAAACGAGGGUAUAACAACCCGUUCGCAAAAAAAAUAUGUUCUUCUUCCGCACAUAACAAUUGUAGCUAGUACCAUGUUACCGCAUUCGCCUGUAGUUUAAUUUUCUAGCAGAAAUGUCUCUAUUGUUUAUUCCAACUUGCAUGCAAUGCAGAUUGCAAUUUGUGUAA